AUUGAACGCUGGCGGCAUGCCUUACACAUGCAAGUCGAACGGUAACGCGGGGCAACCUGGCGACGAGUGGCGAACGGGUGAGUAAUAUAUCGGAACGUGCCCAGUAGUGGGGGAUAGCCCGGCGAAAGCCGGAUUAAUACCGCAUACGACCUAAGGGUGAAAGCGGGGGAUCGCAAGACCUCGCGCUAUUGGAGCGGCCGAUAUCAGAUUAGGUAGUUGGUGGGGUAAAGGCCUACCAAGCCGACGAUCUGUAGCUGGUCUGAGAGGACGAUCCGCCACACUGGAACUGAGACACGGUCCAGACUCCUACGGGAGGCAGCAGUGGGGAAUUUUGGACAAUGGGGGCAACCCUGAUCCAGCCAUGCCGCGUGAGUGAAGAAAGCCUUCGGGUUGUAAAGCUCUUUCGGCCGGGAAGAAAUCGUAUGGGUUAAUACCCUGUGCGGAUGACGGUACCGGCAUAAGAAGCACCGGCUAACUACGUG
Molecule: ribosomal RNA, 482 nt
Filed under: uncultured bacterium
Lineage: Bacteria
Description: bacterial SSU rRNA
Rfam family: Bacterial small subunit ribosomal RNA
Source: RNAcentral